AACGAACGCUGGCGGCAUGCCUAACACAUGCAAGUCGAACGAGACCUUCGGGUCUAGUGGCGCACGGGUGCGUAACGCGUGGGAACCUGCCCUUAGGUUCGGAAUAACUCCCCGAAAGGGGUGCUAAAACCGGAUAAUGUCUUGGGACCAAAGAUUUAUCGCCUUUGGAUGGGCCAGCGUUGGAUUAGCUAGUUGGUAGGGUAAAAGCCUACCAAGGCGACGAUCCAUAGCUGGUCUGAGAGGAUGAUCAGCCACACUGGGACUGAGACACGGCCCAGACUCCUACGGGAGGCAGCAGUGGGGAAUAUUGGACAAUGGGCGAAAGCCUGAUCCAGCAAUGCCGCGUGAGUGAUGAAGGCCUUAGGGUUGUAAAUCUCUUUUAACCGGGAUGAUAAUGACAUUACCGGGAGAAUAAGCUCCGGCUAACUCCGUG
This 433-nucleotide ribosomal RNA is filed under the name uncultured bacterium. RNAcentral's name for it is "partial 16S ribosomal RNA". It matches the Rfam family "Bacterial small subunit ribosomal RNA", at positions 29 to 507 of the family's 1533-position model. The record is from RNAcentral.